RNAcentral lists this ribosomal RNA (445 nucleotides) under uncultured bacterium. RNAcentral describes it as "SSU rRNA". It matches the Rfam family "Bacterial small subunit ribosomal RNA", at positions 26 to 518 of the family's 1533-position model. The record is from RNAcentral.
AGAACGAACGCUGGCGGCACGCCUAACACAUGCAAGUCGAACGGAUCCUUCGGGAUUAGUGGCGGACGGGUGAGUAACACGUGGGAACGUGCCUUUAGGUUCGGAACAACACAGGGAAACUUGUGCUAAUACCGGAUGUGCCCUUCGGGGGAAAGAUUUAUCGCCUUUAGAGCGGCCCGCGUCUGAUUAGCUUGUUGGUGAGGUAAAGGCUCACCAAGGCUACGAUCAGUAGCUGGUCUGAGAGGAUGGCCAGCCACAUUGGGACUGAGACACGGCCCAAACUCCUACGGGAGGCAGCAGUGGGGAAUCUUGCGCAAUGGGGGAAACCCUGACGCAGCCAUGCCGCGUGGAUGAUGAAGGUCUUAGGAUUGUAAAAUCCUUUCAGCGGGACGAUAAUGACGGUACCCGCAGAAGAAGCCCCGGCUAACUUCGUGCCAGCAGCCGC